RNAcentral lists this microRNA precursor (100 nucleotides) under Cebus imitator (Panamanian white-faced capuchin). Its description in RNAcentral is "miRNA (ENSCCAG00000012993.1)". The record is from RNAcentral. Lineage: Eukaryota; Metazoa; Chordata; Mammalia; Primates; Cebidae.
UGAGGCAGGAGAAUUGCUUGAACCCAGGAAGUAGAGGUUGCAGUGAGCCAAGAUUGCAGCCACUGUACUCCAGCCUGGGUGACAGGGCGAGACUCAGUCU